This 492-nucleotide ribosomal RNA is filed under the name uncultured bacterium. Its description in RNAcentral is "partial 16S ribosomal RNA". It matches the Rfam family "Bacterial small subunit ribosomal RNA", at positions 29 to 507 of the family's 1533-position model. The record is from RNAcentral.
AGUGAACGCUGGCGGUAGGCCUAACACAUGCAAGUCGAACGGCAGCACAGUAAGAGCUUGCUCUUACGGGUGGCGGGUGGCGGACGGGUGAGGCAUACAUCGGAAUCUACUUUUUCGUGGGGGAUAACGUAGGGAAACUUACGCUAAUACCGCAUACGUCCUACGGGUGAAAGCAGUGGAUCUUCGGACCUUGCGCGUUUGAAUGAGCCGAUGUCGGAUUAGCUAGUUGGCGGGGUAAAGGCCCACCAAGGCGACGAUCCGUAGCUGGUCUGAGAGGAUGAUCAGCCACACUGGAACUGAGACACGGUCCAGACUCCUACGGGAGGCAGCAGUGGGGAAUAUUGGGCAAUGGGCGAAAGCCUGAUCCAGCCAUACCGCGUGAGUGAAGAAGGCCUUCGGGUUGUAAAGCCCUUUUGUUAGGAAAGAAAAGCAGCAGGUUAAUCCCCCGCUGUUCUGACGGUACCCAAAGAAUAAGCACCGGCUAACUUCGUG